This 331-nucleotide small nuclear RNA is filed under the name Saimiri boliviensis boliviensis (Bolivian squirrel monkey). Its description in RNAcentral is "7SK RNA (ENSSBOG00000008926.1)". It matches the Rfam family "7SK RNA". Rfam says of the family: 7SK was discovered as an abundant small nuclear RNA in the mid-70s but a possible function has only recently been suggested. Two independent studies have found that 7SK RNA binds the CDK9/cyclin T complex (known as elongation factor P-TEFb). Lineage: Eukaryota; Metazoa; Chordata; Mammalia; Primates; Cebidae. The record is from Rfam by way of RNAcentral.
GGAUGUGAGGGCGAUCUGGCUGCGACAUCUGUCACCCCAUUGAUCGCCAGGGUUGAUUCGGCCGAUCUGGCUGGCUAGGUGGGUGUCCCCUUCCUCCCUCACCGCUCCGUGUGCGUCCCUCCCGAAGCUGCGCGCUCGGUGGAAGAGGAUGACCAUCUCCGAUAGAGGAGGACUGGUCUUCGGUCGAGGGUAUACGACUAGCUGUGCUUCCCUGCCAGAACGUCCAAACAAGCUCUUCAGGUCCAUUUGUAGGAGAACGUAGGGUAGUCAAGCUUCCAAGACUCCAGACACAUCCAAAUGAGGUGCUGCAUGUGGCAGUCUGCCUUUCUUG